CUCAAUGAAUGCAAUAACCUUGCAGAAAGGUGGUGACAGGGCCAAGCUGCAGAACAGACCAAUCCGUAUGUCUCUGAAAUUGCUAGCUUCCUGUCUUGAAGGAUUUUUAUCAUGGUUCAGUUUAUCAUGGACAUGUACAAAAUCUUUUGUAAAAUUCUGGGCAUUGAAGAGCAACUGACAAGACAAAAGUGUCCCCAAAAAUAACAAACGUACAUAUACUCACUCUGAAAAGGCUUGCAUUUUCCAGUUAACAUUUUGACCACAGCAAAAAUCCCAGUAAAUGCAUGUAGCAAUUAAGCACAUGACUACAAGAGUACUAAAGGUACUCUGAACCCCAACAUGUUCAGAACAAUUGUAAAAGUGCUUCUGUUUUUCCCAGGCUAGACACCAUUGGGCACCCUGACCAACCUAAUCUCCAGUGACCAGGUGACCCUCCUGGUCAGUGAGAGAAAGUCUGUUGACGUAGUCUGCCUUGACUUCAGCAAAGCCUUUGACUCUGCCUCCCACAGUAUUCUCCCAGAGAAGUUGGCAGCCCAUGGCUUGGACAGGUACACUCUUUGCUGGGUAAAGAACUGAUUGGAGAGCCAGGCCCAGAGUAUGGUGGUGAAUGGAGUUACAACCAGCUGUGAACAGUCACGAGCACUGGUGCCCAGAGCAGCAGAUAUAGCUGGAAACACCAAUGUCAUGGUUUUGUAACUUCGCUAUUGGUAUUCCACAUCAUAACAUCAUGGACAAAAGAGAAGAACUACGUAUCCCAGAGGACCUCACGGUCAGAGAAGGAAGACACAUCACGGAAGAUACGUCAUCUGGUUGCGCGCAGUUUUUUCUUCACUUUCGCUUGCUGCCGGGAGAGGAGUGGGUGUGCUUUCCAAGCCGGGCGCCUUCAUCAAGUAAGGCUUUCGGUUUCAGAAACUCUCUCACUCUCUCUUUCCCUCCCUCUUUAUCGCUCUUUCGCUCUCUCUCUCAUUUCAUUUGGUUUAUUAUCCUUACUCCCAAUUAGAUUGUAUUAUAUUGUGUCAUCUUGCAUCCCAACAUCAUAGUUAGUAAAAUAAGUUCUCCUUCUUAGAUCGUUGCCGCUGCUUCAUUUUUCUCGGGAAGCCGGGGGGGAGCCCGCAAGCCUACUGCCCCCCUGUCAUGGGCACAGAUCUAUCUAGGUAACUCCGUGACAACCAAACAGUCCCUUUGCAAUCAGCACACAAGAGGUCUCUUGGUAAUUGCUUUUGGUGAGCGGCCAGAGCAACCUCUGCUGUUCUCUCAGAUACAGUGCCAGCUGUUUGGAUGGCAGCAGUCAAGGAGACAGAAACUGUACAAUCUGUUCAAGCUGCUAUAACCCAGACUAUUGUGUACUCCUAGUAGGGACAGUAUGCAAGGAUGGUGAGUGAAAUUCUCCGAAAGGAUUGAUUUUACUGCUGACAAUUAGUUCUUUUACAUGCACUGAGUUCAGACAGUUUCUUUCUUCUCUUUUUUAAUAUUCUUCAUCUGAAGUCCAUGUUUAUAGAAUCAUAGAGUUGCUCAGGUUGGAAAAGACCUUAAAAAUCACCACGCAAUGGCCUCCAGCUCUUCCUUUUUAUUACCCAUGCUGCAUGCAUUAGUGUAAAGGCACCUGAGCUGGGCCUCCUUUUGAGUGACAGUAGUCCUAAUACCCUCAUGACCAUACUCAGGUGUUUCCAUAGCCACCAACGUCACACCAACCCUCGUGUUCUUCCUACAAAAGGGUGAGUCGUGCUCCUCCUUCACCAAGACACAAGCCUGUGGGAUCUUACUAGCUCAUCUCCCUCCUACAAGCACUGGGACGUUACAUACAGGCUCCAUUCUAGUGACCCCAGUUACACCCCCACCCCAAUUUGUACCUAGUUUAAAGCUCUGUCAAUGAACCUUCUCAACUCCUGUCUUAAGACCCCUUUCCACGCGUGGGAGAAGCUAUUCCUAUCGGUUGCCAGUGGGCUGGGUCUCAUGCAAACAGAGCAGAGGUCAAAAAACCCAAACCCCUGCUGGGCACACCAGGCUCGGAGCCAGGUAUUAAUCCAUUG
Molecule: long non-coding RNA, 2030 nt
Organism: Gallus gallus (chicken)
Lineage: Eukaryota; Metazoa; Chordata; Aves; Galliformes; Phasianidae
Source: Ensembl